This 301-nucleotide ribosomal RNA is filed under the name uncultured bacterium. RNAcentral describes it as "partial 16S ribosomal RNA". It matches the Rfam family "Bacterial small subunit ribosomal RNA", at positions 509 to 809 of the family's 1533-position model. The record is from RNAcentral.
CAGCAGCCACGGGAAUACAGAGGGUGCAAGCGUUAAUCGGAAUUACUGGGCGUAAAGCGCGCGUAGGUGGUUUGUUAAGUUGGAUGUGAAAUCCCCGGGCUCAACCUGGGAACUGCAUCCAAAACUGGCAAGCUAGAGUAUGGUAGAGGGUGGUGGAAUUUCCUGUGUAGCGGUGAAAUGCGUAGAUAUAGGAAGGAACACCAGUGGCGAAGGCGACCACCUGGACUGAUACUGACACUGAGGUGCGAAAGCGUGGGGAGCAAACAGGAUUAGAUACCCCUGUAGUCCCUGUCUCUUAUAA